GCAAGUCGAACGGCAGCAUGACAGAGCUUGCUCUGUUGAUGGCGAGUGGCGGACGGGUGAGUAAUACUUAGGAAUCUAUCCAGUAGCUGGGGAUAACGUGUGGAAACGCACGCUAAUACCGAAUACGCACUACGGUGGAAAGAGGGGGAUCUUCGGACCUCUCACUAUUGGGUGAGCCUAAGCCGGAUUAGCUAGUUGGUGGGGUAAUGGCUUACCAAGGCGACGAUCAGUAGCUGGUCUGAGAGGAUGGAC
This 252-nucleotide ribosomal RNA is filed under the name uncultured bacterium. Its description in RNAcentral is "partial 16S ribosomal RNA". It matches the Rfam family "Bacterial small subunit ribosomal RNA", at positions 57 to 305 of the family's 1533-position model. The record is from RNAcentral.